This 446-nucleotide ribosomal RNA is filed under the name uncultured bacterium. RNAcentral describes it as "bacterial SSU rRNA". It matches the Rfam family "Bacterial small subunit ribosomal RNA", at positions 329 to 792 of the family's 1533-position model. The record is from RNAcentral.
GCCCAGACUCCUACGGGAGGCAGCAGUCAGGAAUAUUGCGCAAUGGAGGAAACUCUGACGCAGUGACGCCGCGUGCAGGAAGAAGGUUUUCGGAUUGUAAACUGCUUUAGACAGGGAAGAUAAUGACAGUACCUGUAGAAUAAGCUUCGGCUAACUACGUGCCAGCAGCCGCGGUAAUACGUAGGGAGCAAGCGUUAUCCGGAUUUAUUGGGUGUAAAGGGUGCGUAGACGGGAAUGCAAGUUAGUUGUGAAAUCCCUCGGCUUAACUGAGGAGCUGCAACUAAAACUACAUUUCUUGAGUGCUGGAGAGGAAAGUGGAAUUCCUAGUGUAGCGGUGAAAUGCGUAGAUAUUAGGAGGAACACCAGUGGCGAAGGCGACUUUCUGGACAGUAACUGACGUUGAGGCACGAAAGUGUGGGGAGCAAACAGGAUUAGAUACCCGUGUA